Molecule: long non-coding RNA, 381 nt
Filed under: Ananas comosus (pineapple)
Lineage: Eukaryota; Viridiplantae; Streptophyta; Magnoliopsida; Poales; Bromeliaceae
Description: long non-coding RNA (ACOM_LNC016891)
Source: RNAcentral
UUGAUGUCUCUAUGCUGGUCGUAUGCGGUUUCUAGUAUAGAGCUCCUAAAAUGCAGGUUGACUCGGCGGUCGCACUGUUCAUUCCCUGUAUGAAUAGAAUUAAUAGUGGUGUAAUGUUGAGGAAGUGGUUACGAUGGCAUCGAUCCUGCUAUGUGCGAGUGGGAGAUGUUGGCAUUCGGUUAAAUCGAAUCGGGUGCGCCCAUAAUCGGGCUCGAUCCGACGGAUAUUAUGUUAUCUAAUUGGAUUAGGAUUAAUCUCGCUUUCAAAUUGGAAAGCUAAUUAGAGAUAAAUUCUAAUCAUAUUAGGAUAACAAUUAAUAACCAAUUUGGCCUUAUCUAUUACGCUAUUAGGAUUUUGGAAUCCCUUAUAAAUAUACGGGCG